Molecule: long non-coding RNA, 818 nt
Filed under: Heterocephalus glaber (naked mole-rat)
Lineage: Eukaryota; Metazoa; Chordata; Mammalia; Rodentia; Bathyergidae
Description: lncRNA (ENSHGLG00100035185.1)
Source: RNAcentral
GGAAAUGGCAAGACCCCAGAAAUGGACAGAUAGAAGGAAAGACGGCUGCUAAGCAGACAUUAUGCUACACAGAGUCCAGGCCAGCCCAUGUCGCAGAGCGGUUACUUACAUUAAGAAAGGAUUCUGUGUCAAGUGUUUGAGUUAAUUUCUACCUCUUAGGAUCGAGGGAAGUAGGGUUUAAUAUUUCCAUGUAGGGAGAGGAACACCCAGGCUCAGGGAAGUAACUGACCUACUCUCGCGUGGUUCCAGAGGUGGAUUUUCGGACACCAAAGUCGUUCUCCCACCCUGAAGGUCCCAUUCAAGCCAGAGCCGGAGUGUAAGGUCAUGGAUUCUCCCACUCGCUUGCCCUAGGGGUUAAAUUGUACACUGCCCCUGUUAAGGCAUAUCCAGGACUUUAAAGGUCUCCCUGUUGGCCAACACUAACCUGGGAUGGUGAAGUCAGGAUAAUGAAUUCCCUUCACUUACCCUUCAGAAGCACGUUUUAUUCAGCAGUUUCAGAAGUGAAUCCCACUGAACCUUACUGGUUGGAGAAUUCUAUUGUUUCAAAACUUCUCUAAAGAGCAUAGAGAAGGAGAAACUCUUCUAUAUUAUUCCGGUAAUUUGUAUAUCAAUGAUAACCAGAUACAAUCACCAUAAUCUAAGGAAAUCUCAGGAGUGGCUUCUGGAAGGUGAUUUGAUCAAGGUGGCUUAUACUAUUACUAAUGAAUUCAGCAACUGAGUGGGCAGAUGGGAGCUGGUCACUGACUGAGAAGACUUUAUCCCCCCCACCCCUCCCCAGAUCCUCCCUCCUUUCUCUGCUUUCUGGCUCCCAUGAUGUG